Molecule: ribosomal RNA, 292 nt
Filed under: uncultured bacterium
Lineage: Bacteria
Also listed under: 2 other names
Description: partial 16S ribosomal RNA
Source: RNAcentral
GGACUACUGGGGUAUCUAAUCCCGUUCGCUCCCCUGGCUUUCGCGCCUCAGCGUCAGAAGGGGUCCAGCCCGCCGCCUUCGCCACCGGAGUUCCUAUGCAUAUCAACGCAUUUCACCGCUCCACGCAUAGUUCCGCGGGCCCCUACCCCCCUCGAGGCCGCCAGUAUCCCGGGCCGUUCCACGGUUGAGCCGUGGGAUUUCACCCCGGACUUGGCAGCCCGCCUACGCGCCCUUUAAGCCCAGUGAUUCCGAACAACGUUCGCACGGUUCGUCUUACCGCGGCGGCUGGCAC